AGUAAAAGUCGUAACAAGGUCUCCGUAGGUGAACCUGCGGAGGGAUCAUUACAAGUGACCCCGGUCUAACCACCGGGAUGUUCAUAACCCUUUGUUGUCCGACUCUGUUGCCUCCGGGGCGACCCUGCCUUCGGGCGGGGGCUCCGGGUGGACACUUCAAACUCUUGCGUAACUUUGCAGUCUGAGUAAACUUAAUUAAUAAAUUAAAACUUUUAACAACGGAUCUCUUGGUUCUGGCAUCGAUGAAGAACGCAGCGAAAUGCGAUAAGUAAUGUGAAUUGCAGAAUUCAGUGAAUCAUCGAAUCUUUGAACGCACAUUGCGCCCCCUGGUAUUCCGGGGGGCAUGCCUGUUCGAGCGUCAUUUCACCACUCAAGCCUCGCUUGGUAUUGGGCAUCGCGGUCCGCCGCGUGCCUCAAAUCGACCGGCUGGGUCUUCUGUCCCCUAAGCGUUGUGGAAACUAUUCGCUAAAGGGUGUUCGGGAGGCUACGCCGUAAAACAACCCCAUUUCUAAGGUUGACCUCGGAUCAGGUAGGGAUACCCGCUGAACUUAAGCAUAUCAAUAAGCGGAGGAAAAGAAGCCAACAGGGAUUGCCCCAGUAACG
RNAcentral lists this ribosomal RNA (603 nucleotides) under uncultured fungus. Its description in RNAcentral is "eukaryotic LSU rRNA". The stretch from base 208 to 361 matches the Rfam family "5.8S ribosomal RNA". Lineage: Eukaryota; Fungi. The record is from RNAcentral.